Molecule: non-coding RNA, 85 nt
Organism: Firmicutes bacterium CAG:321
Lineage: Bacteria; Bacillati; Bacillota
Source: Rfam
UGUUGAUACAACAUUAAAUGAUGGAAUCAAGUCAGGGACGGAAGUCAGCAGCUUUAACAUUUAUUUAGUGUGUGUAUCUUUUUUU